This 256-nucleotide ribosomal RNA is filed under the name uncultured bacterium. Its description in RNAcentral is "partial 16S ribosomal RNA". It matches the Rfam family "Bacterial small subunit ribosomal RNA", at positions 524 to 776 of the family's 1533-position model. The record is from RNAcentral.
GACGAACCGUGCGAACGUUAUUCGGAAUCACUGGGCUUAAAGCGCGUGUAGGCGGGCCGCCGCGUCGGCUGCUGAAAUCCCCCGGCUCAACCGGGGAACGGGCACCGAUACGGGCGGCCUGGAGGGGGGUAGGGGGGCCUGGAACGUUCCGGUGGAGCGGUGAAAUGCGUAGAUAUCGAGAGGAACACCUGCGGCGAAGGCGGGUUGCUGGGCUGACACGUGACGCUGAGGCGCGAAAGCUAGGGGAGCGAACGGG